AGAGUUUGAUCCUGGCUCAGAUUGAACGCUGGCGGCAUGCUUUACACAUGCAAGUCGAACGGCAGCACGGGGGCGAACCCUCGUGGCGAGUGGCGAACGGGUGAGUAAUGCAUCGGAACGGUAAUCCUUGAGUGGGGGAGUAACGCAGCGAAAGUUAGUGCUAAUACCGCNUAAGCUCUGAGGAGGAAAGACGGGGGCCGGAAAGGACCUCGCGCUGAAGGAGCGGCCGAUGUCCGAUUAGCUAGUUGGUGAGGUAAAGGACUUACCAAGGCACACA
RNAcentral lists this ribosomal RNA (277 nucleotides) under uncultured prokaryote. RNAcentral's name for it is "partial 16S ribosomal RNA". It matches the Rfam family "Bacterial small subunit ribosomal RNA", at positions 8 to 279 of the family's 1533-position model. The record is from RNAcentral.